Molecule: unclassified non-coding RNA, 3447 nt
Filed under: Penaeus japonicus
Lineage: Eukaryota; Metazoa; Arthropoda; Malacostraca; Decapoda; Penaeidae
Description: rAB11-binding protein RELCH homolog, transcript variant X1
Source: RNAcentral
AAUCUAAACCUCCUUCAUUUGAGAAACAGGAAGCAGAUAAGACAGCAAUGGUGGCUGCAUUGUCUUCCAUCCGUCCACAUGAAAAGAGAACACUGAACUUCUUAAUCAAUGAGUACUUGGUAACAAACUCCUACAAACUUACUGCAAUCACAUUUGCAGAUGAAAAUGAUGAUCAGGACUUUGAGCAUUGGGAUGAUGUAGGUUUGAACAUAAGCCGACCUCCAAACCUAGUACAGAUUUUAAGAGAAGGUGAUCAUUCUACUGCAAAUCUCACAUCAUGUGCAUGUCAGACAGAUAGCACAGCUGAUAAUUCCCAAGACAUCAGACAUUAUCAGACCGAAGUUGAAAGGUUAAAGAAAGAACUAGAAGUUGCAAAGGAUGUCCUAGCCUCACAGUCAAGUGAACUGAAAAAGCUGCUCAGAAAAACAUCCACUCCAAGUGUAACACCCUUGGGUUCUCCCAGAAAAGAGAGUGCUCAAUCUCAGAACGAAGGCUUUGUAUGUGAUUCAGGUAAAGUUAACCCAUUUGUUGUUGAUAAAGGUGGAAGGGAAUCCCCUGAAGGAACAUCAGACAAUGAAGAAACAUCUGGGGGUGGAGGUUUUGUCAUGAUUUCAUCACCAGUUGUUCCGCAAGCCACGCAAACUCCUGGAUGCUCAAGUGCUGUUAUGGAUGAGAAUAUUGAUCAGAUCUUUCAUCAGGACCCAGUGAGAAGUGGAUAUGAAGAUCCUUCUGAAUCUAUUGAGAUAUUAAUACAGUCUGGUAGUGAAGAUACACUUGACAAAAUAAGUGAGAGACUUUCAGAGGCAAUGGAUAACAAAAUUCAUGCUACUGGUGAAGAAUCUUCAGUAACACAAGGAAUUAGCUCACAAGAUAUUCCAACUUCUCCAGAUGAUAUUCCAGAUGUGGUUAGUGUUACUGAGUGUCAGAUAAACCAGGAAUCGCAUCCCAAUUUCCAGGACAAUGUUGAAGACAGUCAUGAUACUUCAAGGAAUACAACAACAGAGGCAUAUUUAGAACAACUAAAAUGUGAGGCCAAGAAUCGUCUUAGAGCUUCAUCCACAAGAAUUCCUCCAUUUGUGUUUGAGGAACAACUGAUCCAGACAUGCCUUGGACAUACUAACUACUCUAGAGAAUCUAGGGUACAGGCAGAGGUGGCAAGGCUUGGUCAGGGCAGCCAGGAACUGCUGGAAAUAGUUGCAUCAUCACUCCACAACAUUGCUCCUAAUGUUAUUCUAGCUAAGCGGGAGGAGCUGUUACCUUUGCUAAUAUGCGGAGUUAGCCUUCUUGAUAAUAGCAGAGAAAGAGAGAAAUUACUCCACUUGUUAUUUAAUCUAAUUAAGAGACCUAAUGAGGAACAAAGAAAUAUAAUUUUGACUGGUCUUGUAGGCCUAGCUAGGGUACUUGGGCCGACUAAACUUGAAGCUGAACUGCUCCCACAGUGUUGGGAGCAGCUCACACAUAAGUAUAUAGAAAGACGAUUGUUAGUUGCCCAGUCAACAGCAGCCUUGGCUCCAUAUACUCCUCCUUCCCUGAGAAACUCUCUUUUACUGUCUAUGCUGCUACAAUUACUUGCACCAGGUGGAGAGAAAGAUUUCAGAGUGAGAGAAGCAGCUCUCAUUAGUUUAUCUCUUGUUGUUACUUAUCUUGAUGAUUGCAGUAAAUUGUCUGUUCUGGUAGACACACUGUUGCACUGCUUAGAGAAUCCAGGAUCAACCACAGAUGCCUCCCCACACAUGAGCCUCAAUUCCUCGCAGUUUACAGGAAGGCUCUUGCAGAUGUCCUUAUCAGCUACUGAUAUUUAUCUUUCCUCACUUGCUAUAUGGGCCCUUGAAGAGAAUUCUAUAAACCUUCUCUUAGAUCCAUUAGUUGUGAAACUUCAGCAGCUUGCUUGUCAUUAUAAACAAAAUCAAGAACCAGAGAAAAACAGGCCAGUAAGUCAACAGCCAAUGGUGAUUAUCAUUGAAGCCAUUAGAAAGAUAAUUCCAUUCAUAAUGGCAACUUUAAUCAACUCUUUGCCAGCAUCUGAUGAUGUUGGACAUAACUUUGCACCUGUGGCAUCAAGUUGUAUUGCCUUAGAGGAAUUGUCGGUGCUAUAUGGUAGUGAAGAAAAAGCUUCAUUGGGAUUAAACCAGUAUCAGCAUUAUGUUGCAAAAGAAUGGUAUAAGUCAUGGGAGGAAUUAGAAUAUGUAACUAAAAUGCUCAUACCUACUUUAGUUGAAGUGUUAAACACUGUGGAUGCCACAGCAGAGUUGACAAUUCAUGCAUUUAUAAAAUUAUUUACUGAGUUACUUCAGUGUUUAGGCCCACAAAUUACUAUAUCAUGUGUUAUGCCUAUUUUCAUGAAACAUUUAAGUAUUGAUGACUCUGAACUUGAGGUUGUAAGUCAGGGCAACACAGGCCUUACUGGAUCUUUAGUUGUUGUUUACACAGUAGCAGUUCUUGCUCCAAACCAAGGUUCCUCAGAAAAACAGGGUGAACUAGAGGGUUUUUUGGCAAGGCAUAUCAGUAUCUUAGCACUAUGUCGUGCACAGCUAGAUUCAUUAUACAUUACUAUUGCAACCUUACUGCAGCACAAAAGAAAUCAUGAUGCUGUGCUGGGAGCUCUGUGGUCAUGUGUUGUUCAUAAGUCUAGUAUGGUCCGAGCAUGUAGUGCAGGCUUGUGGGGAAUAGUUGUUGGAUGUGUUGAAGAUAGUGCUCUUGGAUCUCGUGUGGUACCAGCGCUUGUUACCUUAGCUACAGAUACUGAUGUUAAUGUCAGAGCAUCUGCUGUACAUCCUUUGGCAACUAUCAUAACAACUACUGCAAAUGUUGAGGUACUUGAUAAAGUAUGGCUACAGCUUGAGACAUUAUGUGAUGAUCCAUCCACUUUUGAAAGCAUCAAUUUCCAGCUGGCUUUGGCUAGAACAUGCUCCACUUUGGCACACACAUCACAUCCACGUUUAGUACACCAAUUCCUUCUUCCUCGUCUUUGCCGUAUAACAAUGGCUGGAAAACGAAAUGAAGAAGAUGGCAUUAUUUUUGGUCUGGAGGUUCUAGAUGUAUAUUCUGUGCUAACUUGUAGCCAGUUACCUGACCAUGUUAUUGCUCAUUUUGUGCUCCCUCCACUUCAUCAGCUCCAGAAAACAUUGGGCUGUUUAACAUUUGAACACAUGGAAACUAUCACUGACUUGAUAAGAGAGUAUAAUUUAAGAGGUCAGUCUUCACAGGGACUAGAAAGCAUGUCAUAACUGCCCCACCCGGAACUCCAGCAAGAUCAUGCACAAUGUCUCAGGACGUCCAGGGAUAUUUUCCGACCAUGUGAUAGGACAUCAACUGGCACAAAUAGAAGGAAAUCCAAUUUCUCUCUUGGUGGGACCCUACCUGUCCAGACAGGUGUGGAUGAUAUGAAAAAUAAGAUGAGUAAAAUGUUUGCAUCUCGACCUUCAACCACUGUGCUGCAAGCAAAAG